RNAcentral lists this ribosomal RNA (300 nucleotides) under uncultured Bacteroides sp. RNAcentral describes it as "bacterial SSU rRNA". It matches the Rfam family "Bacterial small subunit ribosomal RNA", at positions 492 to 795 of the family's 1533-position model. Lineage: Bacteria; Pseudomonadati; Bacteroidota; Bacteroidia; Bacteroidales; Bacteroidaceae. The record is from RNAcentral.
CCCAGCAGGUGCGACGGGCCGUGGUAGUCGUGAGGGGGCGUGCGUGGUCCGGGUUUUGUGGGGGUAAAGGCGGCUAAGGGGGCUGGGCAAGUCGGGUGUGAAAGCUCCAGGCUCAACUUGGAGAGGCCACUCGAUACUGCCCUGGCUAGAGUUCGGUAGGGGAAGGUGGAAUACCUGGUGUAGCGGUGAAAUGCGCAGAUAUCAGGUGGAACACCAGUGGCGAAGGCGGCCUUCUGGGCCGAUACUGACGCUGAUGCGCGAAAGCGUGGGGAGCGAACAGGAUUAGAUACCCUUGUAGUC